AGACAGAGUCUCGUGCUGUCCCCUGGGCUGGAGUGCAGUGGCACGGCCUCGGCUCACUGCAACCUCCACCUCCCAGGUUCAAGCAAUUUUCCUGCCUCAGCCUCCUGAGUAGCUGGGAUUACAGGUGCCCGCCACCAUGACCAGCUAAUUUUUUUGUAUUUUUAGUAGAGACGGGGUUUCACCAUGUUGGCCAGGCUGGUCUUGAACUCCUGACUCCGUGAUUCAACUGCCUCAGCCUCCCAAAGUGCUGGGAUUACAGGCAUGAGCCGCUGUACCCGGCUGUCUUUUAUUUUUGAUAAAUAUGUUUUUCUGUUUUUUUUUGUGGUGUUUUUUGUUUGUUUGUUUGUUCGAGACAGAGUAUUGCUCUCUCACCUGGGCUGGAGUACAGUGGCGUGAUCUCGGCUCACUGCAACCUCCACCUCCUGAGCUCAAAUGAUUCUCCUGCCUCAGCCUCCGAGUAGCUGGGAUUACGGGCAGGCACCACCAAACCCAGCUAAUUUUUGUGUUUUUAGCAGCGACAGGGUUUCACCAUGUUGCCCAGGCUGGUCUCAAACUCCUGAGCUCAGGCAAUCCACCUGCCUCAGCCUCCCAAAAUCCUAGGAUUACAGGCGUAAGCCACUGUACCUGGCCAGUUUUUAAUCAGUAUGUUCUUGUUAGCAAAUAGUUUUGUGUUUUAUAUAUGUGGUUUUCUUUUUUGUUUGUUUGGUUAUUUUUGAGGCAGGGUCUCACUUUGUCACCCAGGCUGGAGGGCAGUGGUGCAAAAACCACCCACUGAAGCCUCAACCUCUCAGGCUCAAGUGUUCCUGUCACUUUAGCCUCCCAAGCAGCUGGGACUACAAGCCAUGCCACCACACACAGCUGAUUUUUUGUAUUUUUUACUAGAGACAGAGUUUUGCCAUGUUGCCCAGGCUGGUCUUGAACUCCUGGACACAAGUGAUCCGUCCUUCAAAAGUGCCGGGAUUAUAGGCAUGAGCCACCGCACCUGGCCUCUACAUAUGUCUUUUUAGUAACUAAACUCUGGAGGAAAAUAUAUCAGUCACUGUUGUUUUGGAGGGUUGUGAAGGAAAUACUCCCUA
RNAcentral lists this long non-coding RNA (1076 nucleotides) under Homo sapiens (human). RNAcentral describes it as "HSALNT0389287". The record is from RNAcentral. Lineage: Eukaryota; Metazoa; Chordata; Mammalia; Primates; Hominidae.